Gorilla gorilla gorilla (western lowland gorilla) is the source of this 408-nucleotide long non-coding RNA. RefSeq lists it as uncharacterized. Lineage: Eukaryota; Metazoa; Chordata; Mammalia; Primates; Hominidae. The record is from RefSeq and is a predicted model, not a curated record. The transcript is spliced from 3 exons.
GCUCAGGGUCUGGAGGGACAGGAGAUUCUGUGUCUAUAUAAUCUUCAGGACUAAAAUCAAAAAGAAGCAAUGAAUGAAUAAAAGACAAGCUCUUGCUAUGCUGUCCUGUCUGGACUCAAACUCCUAGGCUCGAGCAAUCUUCCCGCUUCAGCCUCCCAAGUAUCUGGGAUUACAAAUGCUCUUUCUAGGAGCAGAAUGGCUCCAUUCCAGUCUUCAAGCAGUAAGCCUCGUUCUGUUCCUACAUCUUGCAUGGAAUACUGUCAGCUCCCUUAACUCCACAGUGCUGCAUAUCAGACACUAUAGUCUGCUCCUGGCCUUGGAGCCCAAAAGGUUGGUAACUUUGGCCACAUUCCCAAUUUAGUGCUUCUCCUCAUUUCUGGUUUAUGGAGAUGCUUAUACUACUUUCAA